This 216-nucleotide long non-coding RNA is filed under the name Trifolium pratense (red clover). RNAcentral's name for it is "long non-coding RNA (TPRA_LNC002451)". The record is from RNAcentral. Lineage: Eukaryota; Viridiplantae; Streptophyta; Magnoliopsida; Fabales; Fabaceae.
UGGUUAUUUGUUUGGAUAGUGUCCUGCUAUAUUAUGCAAGUGUUGUAAUGUUUCCUUAGCAUGAGUUCAACAAUAAAAGAACAUAGGCAUCACAAUAAUAACGGAAAAAUAAAUUGACUUUACUCAAUUUAAAAUCACAACUAAAGAGCCCCAAUUUGUUAAGAAUAGAGAAUAGAACAAUUCUAAGGAAUUGAUAUGAGUUGCACUAGACCUCAC